RNAcentral lists this transfer RNA (76 nucleotides) under Phenylobacterium sp. RNAcentral describes it as "tRNA-Met". It matches the Rfam family "tRNA". Rfam says of the family: Transfer RNA (tRNA) molecules are approximately 80 nucleotides in length. The record is from RNAcentral. Lineage: Bacteria; Pseudomonadati; Pseudomonadota; Alphaproteobacteria; Caulobacterales; Caulobacteraceae.
AGCGGGGUAGAGCAGCUGGCAGCUCACCUGGCUCAUAACCAGGAGGUCGCGGGUUCGAGUCCCGCCCCCGCUCCCA